UUUUGUGACAUACCCAAGAGGACCAUAGUCUAUAUGAAUUCAUUUGGCGAGUCGGAGGUCAGAAAAAGUGCGGUGUUGAAAAACUGGAGGUAAUUAAUUAACAUAUUUAACAUAACAUAUUUAAUUUAAUUGAAAUCAUUACCGAACGUGGUUAUUGAUUUCUCUAUAUGCUUUUUAUUUGUAAUAACUGCGAUCUCUCAGCUCAUUUGCUUCAGCAAGAGGCUGCGCUGGAGAGUGGACCUUGUCACAUGUGAGCCACCCACAUCAACAGGAUGGGAACUCAUGUGGAGUGCAUGUCAUAAUGGUACUGAAAACUAUAGCUUUAACCUAUAUAAGUAAUGUUUACAUUUUUGCCUAUUCAGUUUUUAAAGCCUUAGAGGCAGGAUGGUAAAAUCUCAAUUUUUUUUGUAGAUUGAACCAUUUCAGCAGUAAUGCUUUGCUUUGGUUGCUCUGUUUUUUUUUUUGUUUUUUUUUUUUUUUUUUUUUUUUUUUCCUCCUCGGGGGGUUAAAAACAAACAAACAUUUCUUUGUUAAUCUAAUUCUUUUUGUUCUUUUUUUUGUUCUUUUUUUUUUUUUUUUUUUUUUUUUUUUUUCUUCGUCAAUUAUUAGUUUGCCCAAUCUCUCAUUGACGGUAAAACACAAGUGGAGGAGUACAACACUGAAAUCACAAAGCUCAGGUCCCGACUUUGCCACUACUUAUUUUCCUCAAUAGGUAAAGAUAAAAUUAGCUGCCUUCUUUUUCUCUAACAUUGGAAAAUGUAACUUGUACUUAAACAAAUUAUAUUUUGCAGAUCGAACUAGGAAGUGCAGUCAGUGCUGGUGUGUGAUUGCAGCCAAAGACCGGGUACACUAUGACAUGUCCUUAGCCAUAUAGAUUGUUUAUAUAAUGGACUUUGUUCAUUUGUUUUUUGUUUGUUUAUUUCUUCUUUUUUUUUUUUAAUUCACAGGUGCAGUGCCAGAAAUGUGGUGCAUACAAGCACAUGCGUUGUUCAAAGUCUGUUUGUGGCAUCUGUAUCUUCUGUGAGAGGCCGUAAAGCCAAACUGCCCGCAAUGAUUCUUGACAGGCCUAAGAAGGCCAAAACUAAAGUAACAGUGUUUAGUGUUCUGAGUGAAGAGGAGGCUGGGGAGCUAGCCCUCGGGUUUGCCGGAAGAUUGGCCUGCGAUGUCACAACAGACAUGGUCUGUAAAGGCAUCGACCAUUCAAGUGCUGAUAUGACAAAACAGACUCUUCUCAAAAUCCAACACAACCUUAAACAUGAGCUGACUGAUUCCUCAACCUUCAGUUUGCUGACACACACCUUUGGCCCCGCUGCACUGGAUUCUGUCAUUUCAUUCCUGUGUGAAAAACUUGAUCUUGUCUCUUAAAUAAUGAAGCCUUUUGUGACUUUUGUUUGUUCUGUAAAUCAGAAUCUUGAAAAUUGUUCAUUGUUGUUCUAAGUUUGUGUUAACUAUUUGGCAAAAAUGAUUGGUUCCUAAUCCAAACAGCAUAAUGACUGUUCUAACACAUAUCUUAAAAAUGCUACAAAGAAAGAAAAUUAUCACAUAUGUUUCAAUAUGAAUGUAAUUGUGUCACACUCGGUUUGUAGUAGCUUUCCUGUUUUAUUUUGAGUUUUGGUAUGUUUACACUGUUAUUUUUAUUUCCCGUGUGUUCGUCUUCCCUUAUUAGUUUUACUGUAUUUAAUUAGUCUGAUUUAAUAACUUAUAAUUAUUUACUUUCCAGUGUGUGUAUAUGCUCCUCGUUUGGAUUAUUGUUUGUUUGAGUUCUGCCUGUCUUUUCUAUUAAAGAUUUGGACUUUUGGACUAUUAGUGGACCUCGUAGGUUUUUAUUCUGUGCAAUUGGUAAUUGACUGGGUUUAAUUUAGUGGCCUGGAAAACAGGCCGGAGGGGUCUGGUCAUUUUAACCCCCUAAGACCCGAAAUCUUCCAUGGCAUGCAUUUUUAAUUUCUCUUUGAUAUUUGGGCCGAUUGGAACCCGAUGAAUGUAAAAAGAAAGAAUUACCAGGUUUUUUUUUUUUUGUUUUGUUUUUUUACCUAAUUUUUGUUUCUGAGAAAAAUGAGAGCCACAUAUGAGGACAUUCAUUUGAAAUUUCGAUAGAACAGUUGCAGUAUAAUGUCCUCGUAACUGUAUAUCAGGCACUUGUUGAUCAAGAUUUAGUAUUUUGGUCUAAAUAACCCAAAAUGUGAUGUCCACAUGUGUGGACGCCAGGCUGGAGUAAAGUGUUAGAGCUAUUUAUACCUAUGUAAACUUUUAUACACUGGUUUUUACCUGUCUUGUUUCAGAAAGGUUUAAAAGGGUAAUGUCCACAGUUUAUUUGUUUAUUUAUUUGUUUGAAUUCAACAUAUUUUAUUAAAGUAAUUGAGCUUGAACACAGAAAAAACUAAAUCAAAUAAUCAUAAAAUCAAAUCACUUGCACUAUACUGAAGUCUAAUCUACUCUGAGCUAAUGCCGGUUUCCAACACUAAUGAUCGGGUGAAGGAGAGAGAUGAGGGUGUGCACGGCCACUGGUGCUCUUAUCCCUGUUCUUUGUGAUACAAUCCAACAGGAAAGCAGUCAAACCCUUGGACAUUAGCCAAGUUAACGUUC
Long non-coding RNA from Astatotilapia calliptera (eastern happy), 2583 nucleotides. The record is from Ensembl. NCBI's taxonomy places the organism in Eukaryota, Metazoa, Chordata, Actinopteri, Cichliformes, Cichlidae.